GGAACAGACGAGGAGCUUGCUCCUUUGACAUUAGCGGCGGACGGGUGAGUAACUUGUAGGUAACCUACCUAUAAAACUGGGAUAACUUCGGGAAACCGGAGCUAAUACCGGAUUUAUUUCGAACCGAUGGGUUCGAUUGUGAAAGAUGGCUUUGCUAUCAAUUAUAGAUGGACCUGCGCCGUAUUAGCUAGUUGGUAAGGUAACGGCUUACCAAGGCAACGAUACAUAGCCGACCUGAGAGGGUGAUCGGCCACACUGGAACUGAGACACGGUCCAGACUCCUACGGGAGGCAGCAGUAGGGAAUCUUCCGCAAUGGGCGAAAGCCUGACGGAGCAACGCCGCGUGAGUGAUGAACGUCUUCGGAUCGUAAAACUCUGUUAUUAGGGAAGAACAAACGUGUAAGUAACUGUGCACGUCUUGACGGUGCCUAAUCAGAAAGCCACGGCUAACUACGUGCCAGCAGCCGCGGUAAUACGUAGGUGGCAAGCGUUAUCCGGAAUUAUUGGGCGUAAAGCGCGCGUAGGCAGUUUUUUAAGUAUGAUGUGAAAGCCCACGGCUCAACCGUGGAGGUCAUUGGAAACUGGAAAACUUGAGUGCAGAAGAGGAAAGUGGAAUUCCAUGUGUAGCGGUGAAAUGCGCAGAGAUAUGGAGGAACACCAGUGGCGAACGCGCAUUUUCUGGUCUGUAACUGACGCUGAUGUGCGAAAGCGUGGGGAUCAAACAGGAUUAGAUACCCUGGUAGUCCACGCCGUAAACGAUGAGUGCUAAGUGUUAGGGGGUUUCCGCCCCUUAGUGCUGCAGCUAACGCAUUAAGCACUCCGCCUGGGGAGUACGACCGCAAGGUUGAAACUCAAAGGAAUUGACGGGGACCCGCACAAGCGGUGGAGCAUGUGGUUUAAUUAGAAGCAACGCGAAGAACCUUACCAAAUCUUGACAUCCUUUGACCCUUCUAGAGAUAGAAGUUUCCCCUUCGGGGGACAAAAGAC
RNAcentral lists this ribosomal RNA (987 nucleotides) under Staphylococcus hominis. Its description in RNAcentral is "bacterial SSU rRNA". It matches the Rfam family "Bacterial small subunit ribosomal RNA", at positions 68 to 1035 of the family's 1533-position model. Lineage: Bacteria; Bacillati; Bacillota; Bacilli; Caryophanales; Staphylococcaceae. The record is from RNAcentral.